Parelaphostrongylus tenuis is the source of this 78-nucleotide non-coding RNA. The record is from the annotation of a GenBank genome assembly. NCBI's taxonomy places the organism in Eukaryota, Metazoa, Nematoda, Chromadorea, Rhabditida, Metastrongylidae.
UCGUCAGUGGUGCAAUUGGUUAAGCGCACACCCCCCGGAAAGGGUGAAAUGUUGGUUCGAGUCUCGCCUGGUGUCGAA